CCAUAGUAUCACUAAUUUAUGAUACAUAUUUCCUGCAGUCAUGUCCACUUGUCACUAGAGGUCAGAGGCUGGGGUUUCAGUUCAGUUUUUUCACUAAUUUUCUCAGCCCUUUUCAUCUCACUGCCUGGAUCAUGGCUUCUUCAUCUGAAUUAUGGGAACAGGGCAUCAGUAACAUUUUUUGAGUACUUGUGUGUCCAACACUCUAAUUAUAAAGUGCUUUAUAUGGAUCUCUUCAAAUAUUUUUUCAUAACAGCUAUGGAUGGCUACUGAUAAAAUAUGUUUCUUUUUGGUUAAAGAUACAGAGGCUCAGAGGAGUCAUGUGCCUUUGCCAAGGUUUUACUAGUAAGUCGCAGAGCUUGGAUUCAAAUCCAGACACUGAUUUCAGAGGGUGCACUUUUAUCCACUAUAAAUACUAUUUACUAAGCAUGUCUUAGGGGCAUGCCAUGAAAACAAAGUAUCAGGUAUUCACAAAUUAAUGUGAAAUGAUUAUCAGUGAGUGGUCUACAAUUUCAAUUUAGGGAUUCACUAAAUGCAUCCAGACCUACAGGGAAGAAAUGAUUAGCACAGAGUCAACUGCUUAAUCAAUUAAGGAAAAAAAAAAAAAAAAGAGAGAGUGAGGAAGAGAUGCCUUUAAAAAACAUGUGCUUCCAGUUGAGAGAAGGAAAAGUAUUAAAUCUUUAAAUCAGUUCUAUAUGAAAACUAUGCAACACACAAAAUUGAGCUAUGGCAUGUCACGACACACAGGUAAGUUGUUUAAUUAGACCAAUGGUAUUUCAUAGUCUUCAUAGUCCCCACCACAUGUCACAGAUGAACUAGGGAGGAAUACAAGCUUACAUCCUGAUUGCUGCUGCUGCUGCUAAGUCGCUUCAGUCGUGUCCAACUCUGUGCGACCCAAUGGACGGCAGCCCACCAGGCUCCCCCGUCCCUGGGAUUCUCCAGGUAAGAACACUGGAGUGGGUUGCCAUUUCCUUCUCCAAUGCAUGAAAGUACUCUUCAAAUGUCACAAUAUACAUUAUUGUAUAUAUAGUAACAAUAUUUUGUACAAUAUACAAAAAAAAUCAUAGAUUUUUUUCAUGAAAAUAUGAAUCAACCAGUUAAAGGUGAUUAAUGGCUUUUCUCUUUUUUUCCCCCCAGCAAUCUCAGGUAGUACUAGGAAUUGGGUAAUUUUCAUAUAUAUCUAGUAGUGUACUUUGCUCCUAAACUAGUCUUUUAUUUCAACUUCCUUGGUCCAAAAUGAAAAAACAUGCAUAAAUAUAUAUCUAUUUGAUUGCAAACAACAAGAUCCAGUCUAGCCUGAAAGCACUAAAAUUCAGCUUCUUUGAGUGAACAAUUAAAUAUUGAUACUUAGUCACGUAAACUGAGAAAGGAAAGGGAAAAGUGUUAAAUACAAAAUCAAACAUCUUAGGAUCCAAAAACCACAUCUAACCUGAUUCUUGGGUUGUAAAUUUUACUACGUUACUAAAUUGAUUGCCAUUUCCAACUUUAGUAAAGGCAGUUAUACUGAUGGAAUAGGUGCUGACUGGUUCCAGUCCAACAAGCUUGGCUUCAGUUUGAAAACCUGAAAUAUUCUGAAAAGCAGGAAAAAAAAAAAAAAAACCUCUUAGUUACAGUGCAGCAUUAAAAAACUUAUUUAUAAUUGGAAGAAAUAUUUUUAAUACAUAAAAAUUAUGUCUUCUGUAUUUAACCUAUGAUUUAAUAAGCAUGGGUAUUUUUAAUUAAAAAUUCAAAAAUUAAACAGUUUUUGUGUGUGCCCCAGGGUAUGCUCAGGUACAAGGUUGAACUGGACACCCAUCAACACUGAAGAAAAGCAUAAUUGCCAUUGGUUUUUAAAGCUGAAGUAUUUUGUUUUUAUUUUGUCUGUCUGAUUUUUACUUAGAAUUACAUAUGAUUACUUCCUUUAAAUCUGCUAAAAUUAAAGUCCUCAAUUGGAAUCCAACUUAUGAGCAGUCAGUGGUACUUUAUUUUUCUUGAAUUCAUCAAAAUUCAUUUUUUAGUUCUCAGUAACAUUCUCUUUGUAAAUUAAUGUAUUCAUCAGCUGUUAUAUGCGAGGAACUGGGAACACAGCAGUGCAUGAAACAACCUCUGCUCCUAUGAAGCUAAGCUUCAGAAAUUAUGAGAUUUUCCCAGACAAUUCCUAAAUUUCUAAUUUUAUUCAAUCUCUUAGGAAAAUGAAAAAACAAACAAAACAAUUAUCACAGAUAUACCAAAAAGGAUAUGGUGUCUCACAGAAAAUUUUACCAUCAAAUACAAAGACUUCAUUCAAAGAGGACUGUUCUAACAGAAAGAGCACUUAAGAUUAAUAGUUAUCCUAUGGGGAAAAAAAGACAACCUCUUAUGUGGUAUAAUUUUAAGAAUACUGUAUUAUAUCUGAUCCAAAAUAUAAACCAGUUUGACUUAUACAUUAAACAUUUCAGUGGCAGAAAUUUAGCAAGAAUACUAACUCUCGGGGCAUUCAUAGUUAGAAUCAUAUUUUAAAUUAAUCUCUUACAAGUUAUUGAUAUCCUUUAUGAAUUCACUGUUAUACAAUUUUCUUUCAUUCUUUCUUAAUUACUAUUUACAACGCACAUGGUUAGAUAACCAGGAGAUUAUAAAGAUAUAUAAGACCUGGUCCCUGUCAUCCAGCAACUGUUAUAUUCAUUAGAAAAAUCUACCAACAACUGUAUACGGAGAAAAAAAUUAAACACAAGCAGAUAAAUUUUGACUUGGGUUAGGAGGGGGUGAGUGAGUAUGCAGAGAAAUGACUGAACUCAAGAUAUUAUAAUAAAAUAUAGUGAGUAGCUUAUUGGAUAGUAGAUAGUAGCUUAUUGGAUAGUAGACAGACUGACAAAGUAAACUGUAAAAGGGAGAGAUGAGUAAGGAAUAUUUUCAAACAUAUUUUUAGCAGAACUUUCUCUUUCAGUACGUGUGAGUGACCUGACUGGGACGGCAGGAACAUUUGGAGCGGUCCAAGAGUUACUAUGCCUCCACAGACGCACAUAUCACUGGGAAGCAGAAAAGACACACUUAUAACAUUAGAAGAAAAAGCCACUAUGGAGAAUGAAGUUGAAGCUCAUUUAUACACUUAUAAACCAUCCUCUUGAAGCCAACAUAAGGAAUUAGGAUCCCGAAGACAAGAUGAGGGACUGUACUUAAGCUGGAGGAGAAAGAUUUCAACCACUAAGAAUGAACACAAAUCCCUCAGACCAGAAUAAAGAGUUUGGGUAUUAUUCCAAGAGUAAAGUCAAGUCCUUUGAAUGUGUUCUCCUGGGUUUAAUCUUUCGGUGAAUGAUUAAAAUAAAAUUUAAAAGUCCCAUUUAAAAUGAGAUGCAUUCUUCUCUCCAGAUAGAUAGAUAAAUAGAUGGAUAGACAGAUCCUUAUUUAAGCCUCAAGUCUCCAUGUAUCUGGUCCGCCCACCCUUCUAGUUUCAUCCCUCUCCACUUGCUUCCUCUGCCAUUAUAUUCAAGACACAAGGCUAUCUCGCUAUUGCCCACACGAAGCUUCUUGCUGUUAACCACACGUGAUGAAAUUAUUUAAGUUCCUAUAUCCAGUUGGUGUAGCCCUGGACUUCUCAGCUAAAUAUAUCAUUGUUUUGUUUAAGACAAUUUAAGUUGGGCACUAUAACUUGAAAUUAAAAGAAUCCUGGCUAACACUUAUUCCCAUACUUUAGUAUUUUCUCAUAUUCCUUGAUCCUGAUUAUUUCCACCAUCAUCACUCCUUGUUGAACAAGCUCACUUUUUGUCUAUUUACCAUUUAAACUGGGGAACCAGUAAUUCAACUGAUUUACACAUAAAACUGUAUGAUUAUUCUCUCAUCAGGGAUAAAGUCCAUCAACUGUAUGUGUGUUGGUUGCUUAGUCCUGUCUGAUUCUUUGCAACCCCAUGGACUGUAGCCUGCCAGGCUCCUCUGUCCAUGGGAUUCUCCAGGCAAGAAUACUGGACUGGGUUGUCAUUCCCUUCUCCAGAGGAUUUUCCCAACCCAGGGAUCAAACCCAGGUCUCCUGCAUUGUGGGCAGAUUCUUUACCAUCUGAACCACCAAGGAUAAAGCCCAUCAACUAAUGUAGACCAAUAUUAAGCCAGUGAUUUUUUUCAGUAGAAAUAUGCCAUAAGAGUUAAUUCACUAGAGUUUAAUCUACCAUAACUCCAUUAGUCUUUAUCACAAAUACUGUUAUCAAACUAAGACUUCUCUAAUCCUAUAAGUAUACUGUUGAGUUUUUAGAACAAAGGCCAAUAUAGAGAGCUGUCAUAGCUCAGUCAGUAAAGAACAUGCCUGCAGCACAGGAGACCAGGGUUCAAUCCCUGGGUGGGGAAGAUCCCCUGGAGAAGGAAAUGGCAACCCACUCCAGUAUUCUUGCCUGGAAAAUCCCAAGGACAGAGGCUACAAUCCAUGGGGUUACAAGAGUCAGACACGACUUAGCAACUAAACCAUCUAGUGAUUUGGAAAAAGCAUGAUUUGGGCUUAAUACAGAUCUAGUUAUGAUUCCAGCUCUAUCAUCUUCUAGGUUUGUAACUUUAAGCAACACUUUAACUUCAUCAAGACUUAAUUUCCACAACUAUAAAAUGGUGAUAAUAUUCUUUGCUCUAUGGCAUUGUUGUGAAAAACAAAUAAGGAUAUAUAGGGAAGAUACCAAACACAA
Long non-coding RNA from Bubalus bubalis (water buffalo), 4613 nucleotides. RefSeq lists it as uncharacterized. The transcript is spliced from 2 exons. The record is from RefSeq and is a predicted model, not a curated record. NCBI's taxonomy places the organism in Eukaryota, Metazoa, Chordata, Mammalia, Artiodactyla, Bovidae.